This 427-nucleotide ribosomal RNA is filed under the name uncultured bacterium. RNAcentral describes it as "bacterial SSU rRNA". It matches the Rfam family "Bacterial small subunit ribosomal RNA", at positions 355 to 774 of the family's 1533-position model. The record is from RNAcentral.
UGGGGAAUAUUGGACAAUGGGCGCAAGCCUGAUCCAGCAAUGCCGCGUGUGUGAAGAAGGCCUUCGGGUUGUAAAGCACUUUUAUCUGGAGCGAAAUCUGCAGGGCUAAUACCCAUGCAGUCUGACGGUACCAGAGGAAUAAGCACCGGCUAACUUCGUGCCAGCAGCCGCGGUAAUACGAAGGGUGCAAGCGUUACUCGGAAUUACUGGGCGUAAAGCGUGAGUAGGUGGUUUCUUAAGUCUGCUGUGAAAGCCCCGGGCUCAACCUGGGAAUUGCAGUGGAUACUGGGAAGCUAGAGUGCGGUAGAGGGUAGUGGAAUUCCCGGUGUAGCGGUGAAAUGCGUAGAGAUCGGGAGGAACACCAGUGGCGAAGGCGGCUACCUGGACCAGCACUGACACUGAGUCACGAAAGCGUGGGGAGCAAACA